This 358-nucleotide ribosomal RNA is filed under the name Escherichia coli. RNAcentral describes it as "partial 23S ribosomal RNA". It matches the Rfam family "Bacterial large subunit ribosomal RNA", at positions 163 to 559 of the family's 2925-position model. The record is from RNAcentral. Lineage: Bacteria; Pseudomonadati; Pseudomonadota; Gammaproteobacteria; Enterobacterales; Enterobacteriaceae.
UCCAUAGGUUAAUGAGGCGAACCGGGGGAACUGAAACAUCUAAGUACCCCGAGGAAAAGAAAUCAACCGAGAUUCCCCCAGUAGCGGCGAGCGAACGGGGAGGAGCCCAGAGCCUGAAUCAGUGUGUGUGUUAGUGGAAGCGUCUGGAAAGGCGCGCGAUACAGGGUGACAGCCCCGUACACAAAAAUGCACAUACUGUGAGCUCGAUGAGUAGGGCGGGACACGUGGUAUCCUGUCUGAAUAUGGGGGGACCAUCCUCCAAGGCUAAAUACUCCUGACUGACCGAUAGUGAACCAGUACCGUGAGGGAAAGGCGAAAAGAACCCCGGCGAGGGGAGUGAAAAAGAACCUGAAACCGU